This 505-nucleotide ribosomal RNA is filed under the name uncultured Desulfobacterium sp. Its description in RNAcentral is "bacterial SSU rRNA". It matches the Rfam family "Bacterial small subunit ribosomal RNA", at positions 400 to 896 of the family's 1533-position model. The record is from RNAcentral. Lineage: Bacteria; Pseudomonadati; Thermodesulfobacteriota; Desulfobacteria; Desulfobacterales; Desulfobacteriaceae.
CGUGAGUGAAGAAGGCUUUCGGGUCGUAAAGCUCUGUCAAAUGGGAAAAAGGCCUUUAGUUGAAUAGGCUGAAGGAUUGAUGGUACCAUUGGAGGAAGCACCGGCUAACUCCGUGCCAGCAGCCGCGGUAAUACGGAGGGUGCGAGCGUUGUUCGGAAUUAUUGGGCGUAAAGAGCGUGUAGGCGGGUUGGUAAGUCAGAUGUGAAAGCCCCGGGCUCAACCCGGGAAGUGCAUUUGAAACUGCCUUUCUUGAGUAUGGGAGAGGAGAGUGGAAUUCCCAGUGUAGAGGUGAAAUUCGUAGAUAUUGGGAGGAACACCCGUGGCGAAGGCGACUCUCUGGACCAAUACUGACGCUGAGACGCGAAAGCGUGGGGAGCAAACAGGAUUAGAUACCCUGGUAGUCCACGCCGUAAACGAUGAGAACUAGGUGUAGCGGGUAUUGACCCCUGCUGUGCCGGAGCUAACGCAUUAAGUUCUCCGCCUGGGGAGUACGGCCGCAAGGCUA